This 253-nucleotide ribosomal RNA is filed under the name uncultured bacterium. RNAcentral's name for it is "partial 16S ribosomal RNA". It matches the Rfam family "Bacterial small subunit ribosomal RNA", at positions 524 to 776 of the family's 1533-position model. The record is from RNAcentral.
CACGUAGGGGGCAAGCGUUGUCCGGAUUUAUUGGGCGUAAAGAGCGUGUAGGCGGUUUGGUAGGUCCGCUGUGAAAACUCGAGGCUCAACCUCGAGACGCCGGUGGAAACCAUCAGACUAGAGUCCGGAAGAGGAGAGUGGAAUUCCUGGUGUAGCGGUGAAAUGCGCAGAUAUCAGGAAGAACACCCGUGGCUAAGGCGGCUCUCUAGUACGGUACUGACGCUGAGACGCGAAAGCGUGGGGAGCGAACAGG